This is a long non-coding RNA of Papaver somniferum (opium poppy), 1356 nucleotides long. RefSeq lists it as uncharacterized. Lineage: Eukaryota; Viridiplantae; Streptophyta; Magnoliopsida; Ranunculales; Papaveraceae. The transcript has 2 exons. The record is from RefSeq and is a predicted model, not a curated record.
AAAUCGUGAAUCGUAUAAUACAAAUCUGAUGCUCUUUCCAUUAACAAUGAACUAUAGACAUCAAGACAUACAAUCCGUGCCUAAUUUUUUUGUCAAUGUUUUCUUAAAAGCUUGUCUGUUUUUUUUGUAAACCGUUGAUUGUUUAGGUAGUUUAACUUGUUCUGACUUAUUAAUUUUAAUUUUUGAUAAGAAGGGCUGAAACUAAUCCUAGUUCACUUAAUAAAAUGUUAUUCUUUUAUACUUACUAAUUUUCUUUUCUGAAACGAAUUUUCUUUUCUAAAACGAAUGGAUGAAAAUAAUUCAAGUUCACCUAACUAGAAAAGGUUGGAAAAAAAAACAUACAAGCUCUUCAGAAGUCGGUGUGUGUCAGUUGGAAAAACUCAGCCAUCGUGGCUCUUUCGUUUGUCUUUUUUCCAACAAAAAAAAAUCUUUAUAUGUAUCAUAAUUUAUCUGUUCUCCUUCAAAAAGAAAAAAAAAAAGUUCCUCUGUUCAUCUCCAAACCCACAACCACCCCUUUUUAUCCGUUCUGUCAUAUUUAGGGUUUAUAAGUUUUGGGUUCUUUACACUCUUGUUAAUUUGAAGUUUUGGGUUCAUACACAUCAGUUGAUUAAAUCUUUUGUGUGUGUUCUUACAUUUGAAGGUUCUUUACAAUGUAAGACUCAACUUGAUUUUGGUAAUGCUUUUUAUAUGUUUGUUUACUGUUGAUUUGAAUUUCUUUGUGUGUUCUUAUAAGAGAAUCACUGUAAAAAUCAAUGUGUAGCUGUAUUGUUUGUAUUGCUUCUCAUACUACUCAGUAAGAGAAGAUAAUGUAGAACUGUUUUCAUCAGUAUGUUCAUUUAGGUGUUGGAUUUUGCCUUUUUUUUUUCUUUUUCUUUUUUAAGUUUUAGUGCUUCAUUUCAUAUGCAUGAGUUUUCAUCAGUUACAAAUUUAGGGGGGUUUUUUUUUUGGUACUUCAAUUAUUCUUAAAAAAAGUGAGUUUCCGUAGAUCUGAGUUUAUUCUACUUUUUCAUCAUCUUACAAUGGAUUUUAAUCCAAGCAAUCUUACUCUACCGAAGCUAAGUCCAGAGGCGGAAGCUAAAUAUGAACAUUCUCAUGAUGAGUUUGAUGAAUUCGUGUUAGGUCAUACUGGGUUGUACUGUACAACUGCAAAACGCAUGAGCAUGGAUGCCAUUACGCCGGAGGAAACCUAUUCUCGUUUGAUUGAAGAACAUGUUUUCUUACGUGAACAUCUAAGCCAGAUGCAAGCAGCAUCAAAUAAAAAAGAUACAGUAAUCUAACUUAACUUUGUUGCAUAUUUAUCAAUUCAAAUUGUAUAUUAAAUUGAUUUUUUAAUCGAAUAUAUUUAAAAUUAUACCA